AUGUAGAUGGGAAAAUGUUACCAUUGGAUUUUUAAAUGGAUUUUUCUUGUUUCUUAGAACUACAAAUAAUUCUAUUAUUAUUGACAGAUGAAGUUUAACUAGAAACAAAACAGAUUACAUAAAUACCCAAUGCAGAAAGUUGGAAUAGAUCUUAGUAAACUUUGAAAAAUAAAAAGUUAAAUUGAAGAGUAGAUAUUAAUGAAAUAGCUGGAUAUGGUGGCACAUACCUAUAAUCCUAGGUACUUUAGAGGCUGAGGCAGGAGGAUCACAGGUUCCAGGCCAACCUGGGCAAUUUAGCAAAACCCUGUCUCAAAAGUUUUAAGGUGGAUGUGGUGGCACACACCUAUAAUCUCAGUGGUUUAGGGGACUGAAACAAUAGGAUUGAAAGUUUGAGACCAGCCUCAACAAUUUAGCAAGGCUCUAAACAACUUAGUGAGACACUCAAGAUGAGGUAGGAGAAUUGCGAGUUCAAAGCCAGUCUCAGCAAAAGCAAGAAGCUAAGCAACUCAGUGAGACCCUGCCUCUAAAUAAAAUACAAAAAGGACUUGGCGGGUAGGGCAGGGAAGGACUAUGAAUGUGGCCCCUGCAUUCAUUCCCUGGUACCCCCCCAAAAAAAAAUUCCUAGGGGAAAAAUAUUGAAAGUACACAAUGACACAAUUAGUAUAAGAAAAAAACAUGAAGCUUAAAUAUAACAAAAUACAUUAGUGAAAUUGCAAAGGUGAUCAGGCACCUCCCCUUCACAAAGCGCCAGGCUGAUUUUUAAUUUCAAAAUCUAGUGAAAAUAAUGCAAUAAAAGAUGAACUCAUUUCACUUAUGAAUACUGGUGCAAAAAUCCUAACAUAGUGUAUGUCUACAUCUAGGUCUUACAAUAAUAAAAGAGUUUAGCUCAGCAUGGUAGCUCACAUCUAUAAUCCCCAGCAACUCAGGAAGCUGAGGCCAAAGGACCAGCCUCAGCAAUUUAUCCAGGCCUUAAGCAAUUUAGCUAGAGUCUGUCUCAAAAUAAAAAGAACUGGGAAUGUUGCUCAGUGGUAAAAUACUCCUUGAUUCAAUCCUUAGUAUUUAAAAAAAAACAGGUGAUUUAAUGUCAGAAAAAAUAUUUUUCAGUGUAAUUCAUGUUGAGGAAAAUAAUAUUUCUGUAGAUUUGGGAAAAGUUAAUGGAGUUACACCUAUAUAUGAUAAAAUUGAUGAUAUAUGAUAAAAUUGUUCUGUCAGUAAAAAAAGGGUAUUUCUUUAAUUGAUAAAUGGUUUGCCAAAAACCCACAGCAAAAGUGUGUGUGUGUGUGUGUGUGUGUGUGUGUGUGUGUAGCUGGGCAUCACACACAGAUCCUUACACAUGGUAGGCAUGUACUCUACCCAUGCCUGCAAGUUUUUUUUUUUUUUAUUGAUACCAGCAAUUGAACCAAGGUGUAUUUAACCACUGAGCCACAUUCCUGGCCCUUUUUAUUUCAGGGUCUGGCUAAAUCAAUGAGGCUGGCUUUUAACUUGCAAUCCUGCCUUAGCCUCCCCAGUCAUUGGGAUUGCAGGUGUCUACCAUCAUAACCAGCUAAAUGUCAUUCUUUUUUUGGGGGUCGGGGGCUACUGGAGUACUUGAACUCAGGAGUACUUGCCCACUGAACCAAGCCCCAUUUUGUAUUUUAUUUAGAGUCAGGGUCUCACUGAGUUGCUUAGUGUCUUGCUUUUGCUGAGACCGGCUUUGAACUCAGAAUUCUCCUGCCUUGGCCUCCUGAACUGCUGGGAUUACAGGCAUGUACCACCAUGCCCUGCUAAAUGUCAUUCUUAAUGAAAAACUUUAAAUGCAUUCUCUCUAGAGUUGGGAUCUAAAUAAGGGUUCCUGCUAUCAUGAGAUGCCCUGCUCAGUGCUGAAAGGAAAGAGAAAUGUGAGGUGUGAAGAUUUGAAGAGAAAGAGAAAACUCCCAUUAUUUGCAGUUGAUAUAGGACUACUUAAAAUAUAUACAUAGACUUGCACAGUAUAACAAACUAAAUCAAAAUCUUGUUUUAGUAGGACCACUGGACAUGUUCAAAUGGCUCUUCAGUUAAUAGGACCCAUCAUCUUAGAAUCUUUGGAAUCUUAUCCUCAUACCACAAGGUGGCCUCUCCCCUCAGGAAUCAUUUUUUCUUUGGUACUAGGGAUUGAACUCAGGGGCACUCAACCACUGAACCACAUCCCCAGACCUAUUUUGUAUUUUAUUUAGAGACGGGUCACUGAGUUGCUUAGCACCUCACUUUUUUGCCAAGGCUGGCUUUGAACUCGGAUCCUCCUAUCUCAACCUCCCAAGCCACUGGGAUUACAAGCAUGCGCCGCUGUGCCUGCCCCAGGAAUCUUUUUACAGCUGCUAAUGGAAUAAAAAGCUUACAAUGUGAUUGGAUUUUAUUUACUCUUCUGUCUCUCCCAACUAACCAUGAGCUCCUGGAGGACAGGAGCUUGGCUAAUGAGAGGAAGGGUUUAUGAUGUCCCCACCAAUUGGCAUUUGAGGAAAGGAAGGGUAAAGGGACCAGGGGAGGGGAGGGUGAGUGGGGUUAGAGACUCAACUAUGUGCCUAGUAGCUUCAGGGAGAAGUUGGGCCUGGAGCUUUUCUGUUUAGUGGUAAAAAUCUGAAUCUGAAACCUAAUCAAGGUUGUGAGCAAUGGAAUUUCAAGUUUUCUAAUUUACAUUGACAACAUAGAAGUGAUGUUACAAUAAGUCAUGAAUUUGAAAUCUAGAAAUCCAAGUUGAGAAAGUCAUGACAGUGAUCAAUAUUGUCAAAUAAACUCCAGGUUUGUUCAUUUUUUUUACUUUUAUGUAUUUAUAUGUGGUGCUGCGAAUUGAACCCAGUGCCAAGAGCACUCUACCACUAAGCCACAACCCCAGCC
RNAcentral lists this long non-coding RNA (2850 nucleotides) under Marmota monax (woodchuck). The record is from RNAcentral. Lineage: Eukaryota; Metazoa; Chordata; Mammalia; Rodentia; Sciuridae.